Molecule: long non-coding RNA, 458 nt
Organism: Carassius gibelio (silver crucian carp)
Lineage: Eukaryota; Metazoa; Chordata; Actinopteri; Cypriniformes; Cyprinidae
Exons: 2
Source: RefSeq, a predicted model, not a curated record
UAUAUAUUAGAGCCCGACCGAUAUAUCGGCCGGACGAUAUUAUCGGCCGAUAUGAGCUUAUUGCAUUUAAAUCGGCAUCGGCGUUUAUAACGGCCGAUGAAUGAUGAGAAACAGUCUCAUGCUUUACUCAUGUUAUGAGUGUUGCAUAGUUUACCCACCAGAGGGAACUCUGCAGCUCCAGAGUUGACAACAGCGCCAGAAAUCCACUAGCGAAGAAAGCGAUCAGCCAAGCCAGCCACGGAGAUUUUUUUUUCUGUUUUGACGAUGGCUGAAAAAGGGCAUGCUGUAGCAGCAAAGUGUGGGACUACUUCUGCAAAUACUUUAACUUUAGUAUUAUAAUUUAUUUACAGAACACACACAGACUGUUAAAACCAGCUUCAACUGGAAGAAAGUAAAAGUGUUAAAUGUUUAAAAUCAGGCUGUUUUUUUUAUCAUUAAAAAAUAUAUACUUUUGAUGU